Molecule: transfer RNA, 89 nt
Filed under: Campylobacter jejuni
Lineage: Bacteria; Pseudomonadati; Campylobacterota; Epsilonproteobacteria; Campylobacterales; Campylobacteraceae
Description: tRNA-Ser
Source: RNAcentral
GAACCUUAUAGUUCAGGUUUAGGAGUUUUUUUAGUAGAAAUAGGAAGUUGUGGAUAAACAAUUGCUGGUUUUGUUCCUGUUAAGGAUUU